This 345-nucleotide unclassified non-coding RNA is filed under the name soil metagenome. RNAcentral describes it as "partial contains 5.8S ribosomal RNA, internal transcribed spacer 2, and large subunit ribosomal RNA". The stretch from base 1 to 120 matches the Rfam family "5.8S ribosomal RNA", at positions 35 to 154 of the family's 154-position model. The record is from RNAcentral.
GAUGAAGAACGUAGCGAAAUGCGAUAAGUAAUGUGAAUUGCAGAAUUCCGUGAAUCAUCGAAUCUUUGAACGCACAUUGCGCCCUCUGGUAUUCCGGGGGGCAUGCCUGUCCGAGCGUCAUUUGCAACCCUCAAGCCCGGCUUGUGUGAUGGGUGCCGUCCCCUACGGGACGCGCCCCGAAGGCAAUGGCGGCGUCGCGGUUAUCCGAUCAGCCAAAGUGUAUGGGGCUUUGUCACUCACUUUACGGCCCGGACCGGCGCCAGUCCGAAUCAAUCUUUUUUCUAAAGUUGACCUCGGAUCAGGCAGGGAUACCCGCUGAACUUAAGCAUAUCAAUAAGCGGAGGA